GUAGGGUGCGAGCGUUAAUCGGAAUUACUGGGCGUAAAGCGUGCGCAGGCGGUUCGUUAAGUCAGAUGUGAAAGCCCCGGGCUCAACCUGGGAACUGCAUUUGAAACUGGCGGGCUUGAGUGUGGCAGAGGGGGGUGGAAUUCCGCGUGUAGCAGUGAAAUGCGUAGAGAUGCGAAGGAACACCGAUGGCGAAGGCAGCCCCCUGGGCCAACACUGACGCUCAGGCACGAAAGCGUGGGGAGCAAACAGGAUUAGAUACCCUGGUAGUCCACGCCCUAAACGAUGCUCACUAGGUGUUGGGGAAGCGAUUCCUUGGUACCGUAGCUAACGCGUGAAGUGAGCCGCCUGGGGAGUACGGCCGCAAGGUUA
RNAcentral lists this ribosomal RNA (369 nucleotides) under uncultured bacterium. RNAcentral describes it as "bacterial SSU rRNA". It matches the Rfam family "Bacterial small subunit ribosomal RNA", at positions 527 to 896 of the family's 1533-position model. The record is from RNAcentral.